GGUGCUGGUAUUUUUCAUUUAACAUAAGUAAAUGGUCGAAUUUUAUGUAGAAUCACUUUUUUUUUCUUAACAAGUUUUGGAUUUUAGUGGACAAAAUAAUAAAUAGAUGGAAACAAAACAAAGAGAUAAUAAGUAUGAAAUAAAUGAAAAUUAAUAGAAAAAUCUUUUUUUUUAAACAAUACACAAAAUCAUAGUCAACUGCUACCUAAAUCUUAUUUAAAUUCUAGUGUGAUUCAAUGAUAUAUUUAAAU
RNAcentral lists this long non-coding RNA (251 nucleotides) under Brassica napus (rape). RNAcentral describes it as "long non-coding RNA (BNAP_LNC005337)". Lineage: Eukaryota; Viridiplantae; Streptophyta; Magnoliopsida; Brassicales; Brassicaceae. The record is from RNAcentral.